RNAcentral lists this ribosomal RNA (1382 nucleotides) under uncultured bacterium. RNAcentral describes it as "bacterial SSU rRNA". It matches the Rfam family "Bacterial small subunit ribosomal RNA". The record is from RNAcentral.
GAAUUCGCCCUUAGAGUUUGAUCCUGGCUCAGGACGAACGCUGGCGGCGCGCCUAACACAUGCAAGUCGAACGAGCGAGAGAGAGCUUGCUUUCUCGAGCGAGUGGCGAACGGGUGAGUAACGCGUGAGGAACCUGCCUCAAAGAGGGGGACAACAGUUGGAAACGACUGCUAAUACCGCAUAAGCCCACGGGUCGGCAUCGACCAGAGGGAAAAGGAGCAAUCCGCUUUGAGAUGGCCUCGCGUCCGAUUAGCUAGUUGGUGAGGUAACGGCCCACCAAGGCAACGAUCGGUAGCCGGACUGAGAGGUUGAACGGCCACAUUGGGACUGAGACACGGCCCAGACUCCUACGGGAGGCAGCAGUGGGGAAUAUUGCACAAUGGGGGAAACCCUGAUGCAGCGACGCCGCGUGGAGGAAGAAGGUCUUCGGAUUGUAAACUCCUGUUGUUGAGGAAGAUAAUGACGGUACUCAACAAGGAAGUGACGGCUAACUACGUGCCAGCAGCCGCGGUAAAACGUAGGUCACAAGCGUUGUCCGGAAUUACUGGGUGUAAAGGGAGCGCAGGCGGGAAGACAAGUUGGAAGUGAAAUCCAUGGGCUCAACCCAUGAACUGCUUUCAAAACUGUUUUUCUUGAGUAGUGCAGAGGUAGGCGGAAUUCCCGGUGUAGCGGUGGAAUGCGUAGAUAUCGGGAGGAACACCAGUGGCGAAGGCGGCCUACUGGGCACCAACUGACGCUGAGGCUCGAAAGUGUGGGUAGCAAACAGGAUUAGAUACCCUGGUAGUCCAUACCGUAAACGAUGAUUACUAGGUGUUGGAGGAUUGACCCCUUCAGUGCCGCAGUUAACACAAUAAGUAAUCCACCUGGGGAGUACGACCGCAAGGUUGAAACUCAAAGGAAUUGACGGGGGCCCGCACAAGCAGUGGAGUAUGUGGUUUAAUUCGACGCAACGCGAAGAACCUUACCAAGUCUUGACAUCCCUUGACGAUGCUGGAAACAGUAUUUCUCUUCGGAGCAAGGAGACAGGUGGUGCAUGGUUGUCGUCAGCUCGUGUCGUGAGAUGUUGGGUUAAGUCCCGCAACGAGCGCAACCCUUAUGGUCAGUUACUACGCAAGAGGACUCUGGCCAGACUGCCGUUGACAAAACGGAGGAAGGUGGGGAUGACGUCAAAUCAUCAUGCCCUUUAUGACUUGGGCUACACACGUACUACAAUGGCGUUAAACAAAGAGAAGCAAGACCGCGAGGUGGAGCAAAACUCAGAAACAACGUCCCAGUUCGGACUGCAGGCUGCAACUCGCCUGCACGAAGUCGGAAUUGCUAGUAAUCGUGGAUCAGCAUGCCACGGUGAAUACGUUCCCGGGCCUUGCACUCACCGCCCGUCA